CUGGAGAGUCUUAUGGACGUGACUCUUGCUAACCCGGUCAGGUUCGAAAGAAAGCAGCCGUAACAAUGAUAACGGGUCAUGGGGCUCUCUUUUAAGU
This 97-nucleotide signal recognition particle RNA is filed under the name Alphaproteobacteria bacterium TMED54. Its description in RNAcentral is "signal recognition particle sRNA small type". It matches the Rfam family "Bacterial small signal recognition particle RNA". From Rfam's summary of the family: The signal recognition particle (SRP) is a universally conserved ribonucleoprotein involved in the co-translational targeting of proteins to membranes. Archaeal SRP consists of a 7S RNA and homologues of the eukaryotic SRP19 and SRP54 proteins. In most bacteria, the SRP consists of a 4.5S RNA and the Ffh protein (a homologue of the eukaryotic SRP54 protein). Lineage: Bacteria; Pseudomonadati; Pseudomonadota; Alphaproteobacteria. The record is from RNAcentral. RNAcentral also lists the same sequence under 1 other name.